This 350-nucleotide unclassified non-coding RNA is filed under the name Hevea brasiliensis (rubber tree). Lineage: Eukaryota; Viridiplantae; Streptophyta; Magnoliopsida; Malpighiales; Euphorbiaceae. The record is from RNAcentral.
GCAGCACCAAAAACAAAUCGCGUAACAGUAAAAGUACUCAUAGGUCAUAUACAAACAAGAAUAUUUCCACAACAAACUGAGGAUAGUGCAGGUGCAGAUGCAGAUGCAGAUGAAAUUAUAUUUCAUAUUUGCAAACUAAAGCCAAAUUAUUAAAAAAAUAUAGAAUGACCUUUUGGGAUAGUUUUUUAGAUGCCAACAGUUUAUCAUCCAAAGACUUAAUGAACCAGAAAACAAGUUAUUGUUUAAAAAAAAUGCCAAAUGGCAUUAAGAUGAAAAGACCACUUUCCAAUUUCCAUUUCAAAUAAAUAACUUCAUUUUGCAGCUCUUUUCAUGCUUUUAACUAGCAUGAU